Molecule: ribosomal RNA, 253 nt
Filed under: uncultured bacterium
Lineage: Bacteria
Description: partial 16S ribosomal RNA
Rfam family: Bacterial small subunit ribosomal RNA
Source: RNAcentral
UACGUAGGGACCGAGCGUUGUCCGGAAUCAUUGGGCGUAAAGAGCGUGUAGGCGGCUUGCUAAGUCUUGCGUGAAAUCUCGGGGCUCAACCCCGAGCGGUCGUGGGAAACUGGCAGGCUAGAGUGCGGGAGAGGAGAAUGGAAUUCCUGGUGUAGCGGUGAGAUGCGCAGAUGUCAGGAAGAACACCCGUGGCGAAGGCGGUUCUCUGGAACGCAACUGACGCUGAGACGCGAAAGCGUGGGGAGCAAACAGG